AUUGAACGCUGGCGGCAUGCCUUACACAUGCAAGUCGAACGGCAGCACGGGUGCUUGCACCUGGUGGCGAGUGGCGAACGGGUGAGUAAUACAUCGGAACAUGUCCUGUAGUGGGGGGAAGCCCGCCGAAACCGGGAUUAAAACCCCAACAGAUCUACGGACGAAAGGGGGGGCCUUUGGGGCCUGCGGCUAUGGGGUUGGCCGUUGCGUGUUAGGCUAGUUGGGGGGGUAAAGGCCUACCAAGGGGACGAGCAGUAGCGGAUCUCAGAGGAGGACAAGCCACACUGGGACUGAGACACGGCCCAGACUCCUACGGGAGGCAGCAGUGGGGAAUGUUGGACAAUGGGCGAAAGCCUGAUCCAGCAAUGCCGCGUGUGUGAAGAAGGCCUUCGGGUUGUAAAGCACUUUUGUCCGGAAAGAAAUCCUUGGCCCUAAUACGGUCGGGGGAUGACGGUACCGGAAGAAUAAGCACCGGCUAACUACGUG
RNAcentral lists this ribosomal RNA (486 nucleotides) under uncultured bacterium. Its description in RNAcentral is "partial 16S ribosomal RNA". It matches the Rfam family "Bacterial small subunit ribosomal RNA", at positions 29 to 507 of the family's 1533-position model. The record is from RNAcentral.